GAUGAACGCUGGCGGCGUGCUUAACACAUGCAAGUCGAACGAAGCACUUUAUUUGAUUUCCUUCGGGACUGAUUAUUUUGUGACUGAGUGGCGGACGGGUGAGUAACGCGUGGGUAACCUGCCUUGUACGGGGGGAUAACAGUUGGAAACGGCUGCUAAUACCGCAUAAGCGCACGGCAUCGCAUGAUGCAGUGUGAAAAACUCCGGUGGUAUAAGAUGGACCCGCGUUGGAUUAGCUAGUUGGUGAGGUAACGGCCCACCAAGGCGACGAUCCAUAGCCGACCUGAGAGGGUGACCGGCCACAUUGGGACUGAGACACGGCCCAAACUCCUACGGGAGGCAGCAGUGGGGAAUAUUGCACAAUGGGCGAAAGCCUGAUGCAGCGACGCCGCGUGAGCGAAGAAGUAUUUCGGUAUGUAAAGCUCUAUAAGCAGGGAAGAUAAUGACGGUACCUGACUAAGAAGCACCGGCUAAAUACGUG
Molecule: ribosomal RNA, 481 nt
Filed under: uncultured bacterium
Lineage: Bacteria
Description: partial 16S ribosomal RNA
Rfam family: Bacterial small subunit ribosomal RNA
Source: RNAcentral